Molecule: ribosomal RNA, 497 nt
Filed under: uncultured bacterium
Lineage: Bacteria
Description: partial 16S ribosomal RNA
Rfam family: Bacterial small subunit ribosomal RNA
Source: RNAcentral
GACGAACGCUGGCGGCGUGCCUAAUACAUGCAAGUUGAGCGCUGAAGGUUGGUCCUUGUACCAACUGGAUGAGCAGCGAACAGGUGAGUAACGCGUGGGGAAUCUGCCUUUGAGCGGGGGACAACAUUUGGAAACGAAUGCUAAUACCGCAUAAAAACUUUAAACACAAGUUUUAAGUUUGAAAGAUGCAAUUGCAUCACUCAAAGAUGAUCCCGCGUUGUAUUAGCUAGUUGGUGAGGUAAAGGCUCACCAAGGCGAUGAUACAUAGCCGACCUGAGAGGGUGAUCGGCCACAUUGGGACUGAGACACGGCCCAAACUCCUACGGGAGGCAGCAGUAGGGAAUCUUCGGCAAUGGACGAAAGUCUGACCGAGCAACGCCGCGUGAGUGAAGAAGGUUUUCGGAUCGUAAAACUCUGUUGGUAGAGAAGAACGUUGGUGAGAGUGGAAAGCUCAUCAAGUGACGGUAACUACCCAGAAAGGGACGGCUAACUACGUG